This 253-nucleotide ribosomal RNA is filed under the name uncultured bacterium. RNAcentral describes it as "partial 16S ribosomal RNA". It matches the Rfam family "Bacterial small subunit ribosomal RNA", at positions 524 to 776 of the family's 1533-position model. The record is from RNAcentral.
UACAGAGGGGGCAAGCGUUGUUCGGAAUUACUGGGCGUAAAGGGCUCGUAGGCGGCCAACUAAGUCAUACGUGAAAUCCCUCAGCUUAACUGGGGAACUGCGUGUGAUACUGGAUGGCUUGGAUUUGGGAGAGGGAUGCGGAAUUCCAGGUGUAGCGGUGAAAUGCGUAGAUAUCUGGAGGAAUACCGGUGGCGAAGGCGGCAUCCUGGACCGACAUUGACGCUGAUGAGCGAAAGCUAGGGGAGCAAACGGG